RNAcentral lists this ribosomal RNA (768 nucleotides) under Salmonella enterica. Its description in RNAcentral is "partial 23S ribosomal RNA". It matches the Rfam family "Bacterial large subunit ribosomal RNA", at positions 1 to 701 of the family's 2925-position model. The record is from RNAcentral. Lineage: Bacteria; Pseudomonadati; Pseudomonadota; Gammaproteobacteria; Enterobacterales; Enterobacteriaceae. RNAcentral also lists the same sequence under 1 other name.
GGGUUGUGAGGUUAAGCGACUAAGCGUACACGGUGGAUGCCCUGGCAGUCAGAGGCGAUGAAGGACGUGCUAAUCUGCGAUAAGCGCCGGUAAGGUGAUAUGAACCGUUAUAACCGGCGAUUUCCGAAUGGGGAAACCCAGUGUGACUCGUCACACUAUCAUUAACUGAAUCCAUAGGUUAAUGAGGCGAACCGGGGGAACUGAAACAUCUAAGUACCCCGAGGAAAAGAAAUCAACCGAGAUUCCCCCAGUAGCGGCGAGCGAACGGGGAGGAGCCCAGAGCCUGAAUCAGCAUGUGUGUUAGUGGAAGCGUCUGGAAAGGCGCGCGAUACAGGGUGACAGCCCCGUACACAAAAGCGCAUGUGUUGUGAGCUCGAUGAGUAGGGCGGGACACGUGGUAUCCUGUCUGAAUAUGGGGGGACCAUCCUCCAAGGCUAAAUACUCCUGACUGACCGAUAGUGAACCAGUACCGUGAGGGAAAGGCGAAAAGAACCCCGGCGAGGGGAGUGAAAAAGAACCUGAAACCGUGUACGUACAAGCAGUGGGAGCCCCACCACUAAGCCAGUGGUGAACUCCACAUACGCAUCCUUUGCUGAAGGUGCGGUUAACGGAGCGCAAGCGACGUUCAACCUCAAAAGAAGCAGAGGGGGCUUAGUGGUGGGGUGACUGCGUACCUUUUGUAUAAUGGGUCAGCGACUUAUAUUCUGUAGCAAGGUUAACCGCAUAGGGGAGCCGGAGGGAAACCGAGUCUUAAUUGGGCGUUAAGUU